This 273-nucleotide ribosomal RNA is filed under the name uncultured bacterium. RNAcentral's name for it is "partial 16S ribosomal RNA". It matches the Rfam family "Bacterial small subunit ribosomal RNA", at positions 524 to 796 of the family's 1533-position model. The record is from RNAcentral.
UACGUAGGGUGCGAGCGUUAAUCGGAAUUACUGGGCGUAAAGCGUGCGCAGGCGGUGCGCCAAGCUCGAUGUGAAAGCCCCGGGCUUAACCUGGGAAUUGCAUUGAGGACUGGCGUGCUCGAGUGCGGCAGAGGGGGGUGGAAUUCCACGUGUAGCAGUGAAAUGCGUAGAGAUGUGGAGGAACACCGAUGGCGAAGGCAGCCCCCUGGGCCGACACUGACGCUCAUGCACGAAAGCGUGGGGAGCAAACAGGAUUAGAAACCCCCGUAGUCC